AUUGAACGCUGGCGGCAGGCUUAACACAUGCAAGUCGAGCGGAGACUUCGGUCUUAGCGGCGAACGGGUGAGUAAUACCUAGGAAUCUGCCCAUUAGCGGGGGAUAACGUUUCGAAAGGGACGCUAAUACCGCAUACGCCUACGGGGAAAGGCAGGGAGUCUUCGGACCUUGCACUAAUGGAUGAGCCUAGGCCGGAUUAGCUAGUUGGUAGGGUAAAGGCCUACCAAGGCGACGAUCUGUAGCUGGUCUGAGAGGAUGGCCAGCCACACUGGAACUGAGACACGGUCCAGACUCCUACGGGAGGCAGCAGUGGGGAAUCUUAGACAAUGGGGGCGAACCCUGAUCUAGCCAUGCCGCGUGAGUGAUGAAGGCCCUAGGGUUGUAAAGCUCUUUCAGCUGGGAAGAUAAUGACGGUACCAGCAGAAGAAGCCCCGGCUAACUCCGUG
This 447-nucleotide ribosomal RNA is filed under the name uncultured bacterium. Its description in RNAcentral is "bacterial SSU rRNA". It matches the Rfam family "Bacterial small subunit ribosomal RNA", at positions 30 to 507 of the family's 1533-position model. The record is from RNAcentral.